UACAGAGGUCUCAAGCGUUGUUCGGAUUCAUUGGGCGUAAAGGGUGCGUAGGUGGCGCUGUAAGUCAGGUGUGAAAUUUCGGAGCUUAACUCCGAAACUGCAUUUGAUACUGCGGUGCUCGAGGACUGGAGAGGAGACUGGAAUUUACGGUGUAGCAGUGAAAUGCGUAGAGAUCGUAAGGAAGGCCAGUGGCGAAGGCGAGUUCCUGGACAGUUACUGACGCUGAGGCACGAAGGCCAGGGGAGCAAACGGG
Molecule: ribosomal RNA, 253 nt
Filed under: uncultured bacterium
Lineage: Bacteria
Description: partial 16S ribosomal RNA
Rfam family: Bacterial small subunit ribosomal RNA
Source: RNAcentral